This 253-nucleotide ribosomal RNA is filed under the name uncultured bacterium. RNAcentral's name for it is "partial 16S ribosomal RNA". It matches the Rfam family "Bacterial small subunit ribosomal RNA", at positions 524 to 776 of the family's 1533-position model. The record is from RNAcentral.
UACGUAGGGGGCAAGCGUUGUCCGGAUUUAUUGGGCGUAAAGAGCGUGUAGGCGGCCAUACAGGUCCGUUGUGAAAACUCGAGGCUCAACCUCGAGACGUCGAUGGAAACCGUAUGGCUAGAGUCCGGAAGAGGAGAGUGGAAUUCCUGGUGUAGCGGUGAAAUGCGCAGAUAUCAGGAAGAACACCCGUGGCGAAGGCGGCUCUCCGGGACGGUACUGACGCUGAGACGCGAAAGCGUGGGGAGCGAACAGG